UGAGUUAAUUAUACGGUUGCGGGCUACUUAAAGUAGCGUGAGGAAAGUCCGAGCAUCGCAGGGCAAGGGUGCUUGUUAACGGCAAGAGAAGGCGACUUCAAGGAAAGUGAACAGAAAUAUACCGCGGGGUUAACUCCGUAAGGUUGGAAUGGCGAGGUAAGAGCUCACCGUCUCCUUGGCGACAAGGAGAGCCAAUUAAACCCCACCCGAUGCAAGAUUGGGCUGUGAGCUUGCUUAAAUGCAAAGGCUGCCCGUCUGCUUACAGCCGUAAAUAUCGCUUGAGCUUGCAGGCGACUGCAAGAUUAGAUAGAUAACCGUACACGACAGAACUCGGCUUACAGAUUAAUCUCAAACU
RNAcentral lists this RNase P RNA (355 nucleotides) under Clostridia bacterium. RNAcentral's name for it is "RNase P RNA component class A". It matches the Rfam family "Bacterial RNase P class A". From Rfam's summary of the family: Ribonuclease P (RNase P) is a ubiquitous endoribonuclease, found in archaea, bacteria and eukarya as well as chloroplasts and mitochondria. Its best characterised activity is the generation of mature 5'-ends of tRNAs by cleaving the 5'-leader elements of precursor-tRNAs. Cellular RNase Ps are ribonucleoproteins. Lineage: Bacteria; Bacillati; Bacillota; Clostridia. The record is from RNAcentral.